GACGAACGCUGGCGGCGUGCUUAACACAUGCAAGUCGAACGGAAAGGCCCUGCUUUUGUGGGGUGCUCGAGUGGCGAACGGGUGAGUAACACGUGAGUAACCUGCCCUUGACUUUGGGAUAACUUCAGGAAACUGGGGCUAAUACCGGAUAGGAGCUCCUGCUGCAUGGUGGGGGUUGGAAAGUUUCGGCGGUUGGGGAUGGACUCGCGGCUUAUCAGCUUGUUGGUGGGGUAGUGGCUUACCAGGCAUUUGACGGGUAGCCGGCCUGAGAGGGUGACCGGCCACAUUGGGACUGAGGUACGGCCCAGACUCCUACGGGAGGCAGCAGUGGGGAAUAUUGCACAAUGGGCGGAAGCCUGAUGCAGCAACGCCGCGUGCGGGAUGACGGCCUUCGGGUUGUAAACCGCUUUCGCCUGUGACGAAGCGUGAGUGACGGUAAUGGGUAAAGAAGCACCGGCUAACUACGUG
RNAcentral lists this ribosomal RNA (468 nucleotides) under uncultured bacterium. Its description in RNAcentral is "partial 16S ribosomal RNA". It matches the Rfam family "Bacterial small subunit ribosomal RNA", at positions 28 to 507 of the family's 1533-position model. The record is from RNAcentral.